Molecule: ribosomal RNA, 492 nt
Filed under: uncultured bacterium
Lineage: Bacteria
Description: partial 16S ribosomal RNA
Rfam family: Bacterial small subunit ribosomal RNA
Source: RNAcentral
AGUGGACGCUGGCGGUAGGCCUAACACAUGCAAGUCGAACGGCAGCACAGUAAGAGCUUGCUCUUACGGGUGGCGAGUGGCGGACGGGUGAGGAAUACAUCGGAAUCUACUUUUUCGUGGGGGAUAACGUAGGGAAACUUACGCUAAUACCGCAUACGACCUACGGGUGAAAGCAGGGGAUCUUCGGACCUUGCGCGAUUGAAUGAGCCGAUGUCGGAUUAGCUAGUUGGCGGGGUAAAGGCCCACCAAGGCGACGAUCCGUAGCUGGUCUGAGAGGAUGAUCAGCCACACUGGAACUGAGACACGGUCCAGACUACUACGGGAGGCAGCAGUGGGGAAUAUUGGACAAUGGGCGCAAGCCUGAUCCAGCCAUACCGCGUGGGUGAAGAAGGCCUUCGGGUUGUAAAGCCCUUUUGUUGGGAAAGAAAAGCAGCAGGUUAAUACCCCGCUGUUCUGACGGUACCCAAAGAAUAAGCACCGGCUAACUUCGUG